Molecule: long non-coding RNA, 923 nt
Filed under: Homarus americanus (American lobster)
Lineage: Eukaryota; Metazoa; Arthropoda; Malacostraca; Decapoda; Nephropidae
Description: uncharacterized LOC121871618, transcript variant X2
Source: RNAcentral
ACAUUUACACUGCCCCCUGCAUCUUUUCUUGCUACGAAUGUGGCAGAGUUUAUUUCUUGUCUUUACCCAGAACCGUCAACUCGUCCAUUAUGAAUAGGUUAUUUUGCCAUUCUUUAUUAACAUACUGAAGAAAGAAUCCCCAUUUGCAGGUGACAUGAUGCAACAUCUUCCCGAGGCAGUGGACCAGAAGGUAUGACACUGUAGACACUGGGAAGAAUACUUUCCUACCAUCACCAAGUGGCAUCAUCAACAUAACCAGCCAACUGAAGUUAACCAGAGAUGGACACAAACUUCACCUGCUGCUGUAUGGUUCUUUCUCCAUCACUGCCUUAAGUGGACCUGAAUUGAGCUGGACCUGAUGUGAACUAGACUAAAGUGAGCUGGACCUCAGGUGAACUGGAACUAAAGUUAACUAAACCUGAUGUUACUGCACCUGCAAGUAAAGUAGACCUAAAGGACUAUCUGGUUAGGUUUGUCAGAGCCAACCAUAUAGAGGGUCAUCUGACACCACCAUAGUUUUAUCUAUCAACUGCAGCUGACCCCAACAUGAAGGGCAUUUCAUCUAUCAACUGCAUCUGAACCCCUUUCCCCUACCCCUUUAGAGCGGGGGUCAGAAGUCUGUUCUGGGAAGUACCUUACUCUCGGAGCAUUAUAACUCUGCGUUUAUGGCUCGGACAUUUCUGUAUCUGGGAUAAGGAGCUUCCUGGAGGAGGCGACUGGCCCUAGGAGCAGCAAUUGCUGUAUCUAGAUGUCAGCGUUAGGCUGCUUAGGUUCCCUUUUUUUUUAAGGAUCUUCAGGCGUGCCUCUUCAAGGAUAAACUGAAUCCUAGGACAAGGAGAGCCGGUCCUGAAGCAGAUUGGUACCAUUUUUUUUAUCCUUUUGAGCUGGGGUCAGGAGGCUUCUUCCAAGAGGUAAAUGGCUUU